UUUCCUUUCCGUCCUGCAGAUUCAACCCAGACACCACGCUGCUGGAGGCCGUUCCACGAUGCUGGGCCCGCUGGAGGGAAGGGGAGACGCGGGGGGAGAACGGAGAACAGAAGGAGACAAGAACUGGGCAGAAUGGUGUGGACGGGUGUGCGUUGCAUUGGACUGCGCAGAAGACUCCAGUCCGUGUCCUGUCAAGAGACCUGCGAAUUGUGAUUUUAAGAAAGUUUACCUUGUUCGCAUGUUCCGAUCUAUUGCUUCUUGGCAGCUGCUCGGAAAUGGCAGCGACCCAACGGAAACCUCAGGCAUGCAGGCUGGGGAGGUGAGGGGAGGAGCCCGGGACAGGCGCUGCAGGAUUAACCCCUGUCACCUGCAGUCAGAUGUCUCACCUGCUGCCCUGCAACGGAGACGCAUGCAAAUCAGGGAUUUUAUGCCGUUUGAUGUGCAGCAGCAUCCUUGUUUGUGGCAUUUGGCUGAUGCUGAUAUGCUUCUCGCUGCUUGUAGAGCACAAGAUGGUCAAAAACGGAGACAUCACACUUAUAGAUUGCAUUGCAUUGGUAAGCACACACAUUCGAUGUACGACCGUCCUCUCAGUUAUUCAUUUUUUGUCCUCUAGCGAGAUCUGUUGAGCUGACCACUGUCUCACAUCUGCCUUCUGCUUUUUCCCUUACUGAUGAAGCAACGCUCCAAAAUAACAUGGAGUUUUACACUCUGCCAGCCUCGGCCUUUGUUUAUAUUUAAUACAUUUAUGCGGAAAUCCCAUUCAGAUGAGCCGCGGCCAUGUGAAAGCCAUUAGGGCAAACACUAGGAAUGAGGUGGCUUUACAACCUCAUAAUAGUCUCUUUAGGUGCACAUUUAAUGACCCGUCCGGUGUAAAUCAGUCUGACGGUAGUUAGAGAAAGGUUUAUGCAGGAUAAGUGGCAGGGCCGGAAGAAUUCAAAUUAUGAGAAGCCUAGCAGGAAUAUGGUCAAAAUGGUUGGCGUUUAAAAGAUGCAUGAGCUGGACUGAAGCUAUUUCUGUAGCUUUAGUAAGAAUAAUCCAGUGUAUUAAAGAAAACAAAAGGAGAUUUCAUGACGUGUUAGAUUAGCACACAUUAACCAGCACUUUUGGCACUUAAGUCAUCUCGGCAUUAGAAAAUGGGUUUAAAUGUAUGUUUUCAAAUGAUUAACUCAACCUUAAGACCAAAAUGCUGCAACUGUUGUAUUUUGAAUUAUUAUUAAAGGAAACGCAAGCCGAAUAUGCUGAUAAAAGAG
Long non-coding RNA from Gasterosteus aculeatus aculeatus (three-spined stickleback), 1250 nucleotides. NCBI's taxonomy places the organism in Eukaryota, Metazoa, Chordata, Actinopteri, Perciformes, Gasterosteidae. The record is from Ensembl.